RNAcentral lists this ribosomal RNA (468 nucleotides) under uncultured bacterium. RNAcentral describes it as "partial 16S ribosomal RNA". It matches the Rfam family "Bacterial small subunit ribosomal RNA", at positions 28 to 507 of the family's 1533-position model. The record is from RNAcentral.
GAUGAACGCUGGCGGCGUGCUUAACACAUGCAAGUCGAACGGAAAGGCGCGGCUCUUGCGGGCUGCUCGAGGGGCGAACGGGGGUGAAACAAGCGAGUAUCCCCCCCAUGACGGUGGGACACCUUCAGGAAACAGGGGCUAACACCGGAUAGGAUCUCCUGCAGCAUGGUGGGGGAUGGAAAGCUUCGGCGGUUGGGGGUGGACUCGCGGGUUAUCAGCUGGUUGGUGGGGUGGUGGCGUUCCCAGGCUUUGACGGGUAGCCGGCCUGGGAAGGGGACCGGGCACAUUGCGCCUAAGAUACGGCGCAGAGUCGUACGGUAGGCAGCAGUGGGGAAUAUUGCACAAUGGGCGGAAGCCUGGUGCAGCAACGCCGCGUGCGGGAUGACGGCCUUCGGGUUAUAAACCGCUUUGGGCUGAGACGAAGCGUGGGUGACGGUACUGGGUAAAGAAGCACCGGCUAACUACGUG